Molecule: ribosomal RNA, 804 nt
Filed under: uncultured marine bacterium
Lineage: Bacteria
Description: bacterial SSU rRNA
Rfam family: Bacterial small subunit ribosomal RNA
Source: RNAcentral
AGUCGAGGGGUAACAGGGAAAAGCUUGCUUUUCCGCUGACGACCGGCGCACGGGUGCGUAACACGUAUGCAACCUACCUCUUACUGAAGGAUAGCCCAGAGAAAUUUGGAUUAAUACUUCAUAACACCACAAGAUCGCAUGAUCUCACGGUUAAAGGUUACGGUAAGAGAUGGGCAUGCGUCCUAUUAGUUUGUUGGUGAGGUAAUGGCUCACCAAGACUACGAUAGGUAGGGGGUCUGAGAGGAUUAUCCCCCACACUGGUACUGAGACACGGACCAGACUCCUACGGGAGGCAGCAGUGAGGAAUAUUGCGCAAUGGACGAAAGUCUGACGCAGCCAUGCCGCGUGAAGGAUGACGGCGCUACGCGUUGUAAACUUCUUUUAUAUACCAAGAAACCUUCGGACGUGUCCGAAGCUGACGGUAGUAUAUGAAUAAGCACCGGCUAACUCCGUGCCAGCAGCCGCGGUAAUACGGAGGGUGCAAGCGUUAUCCGGAUUUAUUGGGUUUAAAGGGUCCGUAGGCGGAUCAUUAAGUCAGUGGUGAAAGCCGACAGCUCAACUGUCGAACUGCCAUUGAUACUGGUGAUCUUGGGUACGGUUGAAGUAGGCGGAAUAUGACAUGUAGCGGUGAAAUGCUUAGAUAUGUCAUAGAACACCGAUUGCGAAGGCAGCCUACUAAGCCGUUACUGACGCUGAGGGACGAAAGUGUGGGGAGCGAACAGGAUUAGAUACCCUGGUAGUCCACACCGUAAACGAUGAUUACUCGGUAUUGGCUUUAUUGUCAGUGCCCAAGCGAAAGUGAUA